AUACGUAGGUGGCAAGCGUUGUCCGGAUUUACUGGGUGUAAAGGGCGUGUAGGCGGAGAUGCAAGUCAGGAGUGAAAUCUAGGGGCUCAACCCCUAAACUGCUUUUGAAACUGUAUCCCUUGAGUAUCGGAGAGGCAGGCGGAAUUCCUAGUGUAGCGGUGAAAUGCGUAGAUAUUAGGAGGAACACCAGUGGCGAAGGCGGCCUGCUGGACGACAACUGACGCUGAGGCGCGAAAGCGGGGGGAGCAAACAGGAUUAGAGACCCUGUUAGUCCACGCCGGAAACGAUGGGCGCUCGUCGUCGGCGGCAGACAGUCGGCGGCCAAGCGAAAGCGAUAAGCGCCCCACCUGGGGAGUACGGUCGCAAGGCUGAAACUCAAAUGAAUUGACGGGG
This 393-nucleotide ribosomal RNA is filed under the name uncultured bacterium. RNAcentral's name for it is "partial 16S ribosomal RNA". It matches the Rfam family "Bacterial small subunit ribosomal RNA", at positions 523 to 918 of the family's 1533-position model. The record is from RNAcentral.